GAUUAACGCUGGCGGCGUGCAUAACACAUGCAAGUCGAACGAUGAAACUUAAAUGAUUUCUUCGGAAUGAACUUAAGUGGAUUAGUGGCGGACGGGUGAGUAACGCGUGAGUAACCUGCCUUACACAAGGGGAUAGCCGUUGGAAACGACGAAUAAUACCCUAUGAAACUAUCACUUCGCAUGAAGCGAUAGUCAAAGUGUUAGCGGUGUAAGAUGGACUUGCGUCUGAUUAGCUAGUUGGUGAGAAAAAAGCCCACCAAGGCAACGAUCAGUAGCCGGCUUGAGAGAGUGUACGGCCACAUUGGGACUGAGACACGGCCCAGACUCCUACGGGAAGCAGCAGUGGGGAAUUUUGCACAAUGGGGGAAACCCUGAUGCAGCGACGCCGCGUGAUUUAGAAGGCCUUCGGGUUGUAAAAAUCUUUUGUAUAGGAAGAAAAUGACAGUACUAUACGAAUAAGGUCCGGCUAAUUACGUG
RNAcentral lists this ribosomal RNA (477 nucleotides) under uncultured bacterium. Its description in RNAcentral is "partial 16S ribosomal RNA". It matches the Rfam family "Bacterial small subunit ribosomal RNA", at positions 28 to 507 of the family's 1533-position model. The record is from RNAcentral.